Molecule: unclassified non-coding RNA, 184 nt
Filed under: uncultured fungus
Lineage: Eukaryota; Fungi
Description: sequence contains ITS1
Source: RNAcentral
UUAACUUGUUUGCGUUUCUCGAGAAUUCAAAAAAAUAACAGAAUGGUAUGGGCCGCCGGCGGACCUUGGCGGGGGAGACCCCCGCCGCGGCACCCGCCGAGGCAACGUGUUUAUAGUGAGUCCACAGGGUGAAAGGAGUCUUGCGAGUCCUGUAAUGAUCCCUCCGCUGGUUCACCAACGGAGA